Molecule: long non-coding RNA, 327 nt
Organism: Lemur catta (Ring-tailed lemur)
Lineage: Eukaryota; Metazoa; Chordata; Mammalia; Primates; Lemuridae
Exons: 3
Source: RefSeq, a predicted model, not a curated record
GAGGAACCAUUCGUUUCUCUGGCCUCCCUGACUCUACAAGGUCUCCUUUGCUUGGAGGGCCCUGCACUUGGCUGUCUUCUGUGACGUGUCAUGGAAAGGAAACCAAGGCAGAGAAUGGUUAAAGAACUUGCUCGAGCCACACAGCUGGGAGUGAAAGAGCUGGGGUCACUGCUGUGGGUAGAAUUGUGUCUCUCCAAAAUUUGUACAUUGGAGUCCUAACCCUCAGUGCCUUGCAUGUGACCUCGUUUGGAGACAGGGCGGUCGCAGGGUAACCAAGUCAAAAUGAAGCCAUUAGGGUGGGCCCUAAUCCAAAGUCACUGGUGUCCU